This 885-nucleotide ribosomal RNA is filed under the name uncultured Mollicutes bacterium. RNAcentral describes it as "bacterial SSU rRNA". It matches the Rfam family "Bacterial small subunit ribosomal RNA", at positions 505 to 1403 of the family's 1533-position model. The record is from RNAcentral. Lineage: Bacteria; Bacillati; Mycoplasmatota; Mollicutes.
GUGCCAGCAGCCGCGGUAAUACAUAGGGGGCAAGCGUUAUCCGGAAUUAUUGGGCGUAAAGGGUGCGUAGGCGGUUAUUUAAGUCUUUGGUAUAAGUGCAGUGCUUAACGCUGUGAUGCUAAAGAAACUGGAUGACUUGAGUUAGAUAGAGGCAAGUGGAAUUCCAUGUGUAGCGGUAAAAUGCGUAAAUAUAUGGAGGAACACCAGUGGCGAAGGCGGCUUGCUGGGUCUAUACUGACGCUGAGGCACGAAAGCGUGGGGAGCAAACAGGAUUAGAUACCCUGGUAGUCCACGCCGUAAACGAUGAGUACUAAGUGUUGGAGAAAUUCAGUGCUGUAGUUAACGCAAUAAGUACUCCGCCUGAGUAGUACGUGCGCAAGCAUGAAACUCAAAGGAAUUGACGGGACCCCGCACAAGCGGUGGAUCAUGUUGUUUAAUUCGAAGAUACGCGAAAAACCUUACCAGGUCUUGACAUCCCUUGCAAAGCUAUAGAGAUAUAGUGGAGGUUAUCAAGGAGACAGGUGGUGCAUGGUUGUCGUCAGCUCGUGUCGCGAGAUGUUGGGUUAAGUCCCGCAACGAGCGCAACCCUUAUUGCUAGUUACCAUCAUUAAGUUGGGGACUCUAGCGAGACUGCCAGUGAUAAACUGGAGGAAGGUGGGGAUGACGUCAAAUCAUCAUGCCCCUUAUGACCUGGGCUACAAACGUGAUACAAUGGCUGAAACAAAGGGCAGCGAAGCAGUGAUGUGGAGCGAAACCCAAAAAAGCAGUCUCAGUUCGGAUUGAAGUCUGCAACUCGACUUCAUGAAGUCGGAAUCGCUAGUAAUCGCGAAUCAGAACGUCGCGGUGAAUACGUUCUCGGGGUUUGUACACACCGCCCGUCACACC